GACGAACGCUGGCGGCGUGCUUAACACAUGCAAGUCGAACGGUAAGGCCCUUCGGGGUACACGAGUGGCGAACGGGUGAGUAACACGUGGGUGAUCUGCCCUGCACUUCGGGAUAAGCCUGGGAAACUGGGUCUAAUACCGGAUAGGACCAUCCGCUUCACGGUGUUUGGUGGACAGCUUUUGCGGUGUGGGAUGGGCCCGUGGCCUAUCAGCUUGUUGGUGGGGUAAUGGCCUACCAAGGCGACGACGGGUAGCCGGCCUGAGAGGGUGACCGGCCACACUGGGACUGAGAUACGGCCCAGACUCCUACGGGAGGCAGGAGUGGGGAAUAUUGCACAAUGGGCGCAAGCCUGAUGCAGCGACGCCGCGUGAGGGAUGACGGCCUUCGGGUUGUAAACCUCUUUCAGUAGGGACGAAGCGCAAGUGACGGCACCUAUAGAAGAAGGACCGGCCAACUACGUGCCAGCAGCCGCCGUAA
This 478-nucleotide ribosomal RNA is filed under the name uncultured bacterium. RNAcentral describes it as "partial 16S ribosomal RNA". It matches the Rfam family "Bacterial small subunit ribosomal RNA", at positions 28 to 523 of the family's 1533-position model. The record is from RNAcentral.